GAAACCCGUAAUCCCCCAGGCC
This 22-nucleotide non-coding RNA is filed under the name Arabidopsis thaliana (thale cress). The record is from RNAcentral. Lineage: Eukaryota; Viridiplantae; Streptophyta; Magnoliopsida; Brassicales; Brassicaceae.